GUAGGUGGCAAGCGUGUCCGGAAUUAUUGGGCGUAAAGCGCGCGCAGGCGGUCCUUUAAGUCUGAUGUGAAAGCCCACGGCUCAACCGUGGAGGGUCAUUGGAAACUGGGGGACUUGAGUACAGAAGAGGAAAGCGGAAUUCCAAGUGUAGCGGUGAAAUGCGUAGAGAUUUGGAGGAACACCAGUGGCGAAGGCGGCUUUCUGGUCUGUAACUGACGCUGAGGCGCGAAAGCGUGGGGAGCAAACAGGAUUAGAUACCCUGGUAGUCCACGCCGUAAACGAUGAGUGCUAAGUGUUAGGGGGUUUCCCGCCCCCUUAGUGCUGCAGCUAACGCAUUAAGCACUCCGCCUGGGGAGUACGGCCGCAAGGCUG
This 372-nucleotide ribosomal RNA is filed under the name uncultured organism. Its description in RNAcentral is "partial 16S ribosomal RNA". It matches the Rfam family "Bacterial small subunit ribosomal RNA", at positions 527 to 896 of the family's 1533-position model. The record is from RNAcentral.